GGGGGCGUACCGGUUUCGACGGGGACGCGGAAGCAGGAAUAGCGGGCGGUGGUGCUCGACCACCUUAAAACGGGCAUUCUUUAUAAAUUAAAGAACAACGAUAACUACGCUUACGCUGCCUGAUUAAAGGCGGCCGUCUGACCCGAAAGGACCACGAGUCGGGAUCAGGCGUCGUUUUAGUGGUGCACGUGCGUAUGGUAAGCUUUGCCCAUACCAUGAACAAUGAAGCUUACCCAAUCUCCAGGCGUGACGGCUUGCCUGGACCGAGGGGAACGGGGCGGUAACGCCGCCCAAAAUAACCGCCUGCGCCCGGAGAAGUUCCUGUGAAAGUGUUUUCGGACGGGAGUUCAACUCUCCCCGCCUCCACCA
This 369-nucleotide transfer-messenger RNA is filed under the name Oscillospiraceae. Its description in RNAcentral is "Lawsonibacter sp022795855 Standard tmRNA". It matches the Rfam family "transfer-messenger RNA". From Rfam's summary of the family: Bacterial tmRNA, also known as 10Sa RNA or SsrA, is named for its dual tRNA and mRNA-like properties. The record is from RNAcentral. RNAcentral also lists the same sequence under 1 other name. Lineage: Bacteria; Bacillati; Bacillota; Clostridia; Eubacteriales.